Sander lucioperca (pikeperch) is the source of this 485-nucleotide non-coding RNA. The record is from the annotation of a RefSeq genome assembly. NCBI's taxonomy places the organism in Eukaryota, Metazoa, Chordata, Actinopteri, Perciformes, Percidae.
GAUGCAAAACUCAGAUAUCUUCCACCUCUACUUAUCUGAGUGCAGAGAGGAGGACAGAGAACAGUGGACACACAGUUUAACAUGAUGGACUAUAGGACAGGACUGCUGCUUUUAACUCUCUGCUGGGCAGGUGUUGAUGGUCAGACUCUGACAGAAUCUGAACCAGCGGUUAAAAGUCCUGGAGAAUCCCACAGAUUGACCUGUACCACAUCUGGGUUUAAUUUAGGCAGCUAUCACAUGGCCUGGAUCAGACAGGCUCCUGGAAAAGGACUAGAGUGGAUUGCCUGGAAUAGUAACGGUGGCACCAAAUACUACUCUCAGUCAGUUCAGGGCCGGUUUACCAUCUCCAGAGACGACAGCAGACAGCAGCUCUAUCUGCAGAUGAACAGUCUGAAGACUGAAGAUUCUGCUGUUUAUUAUUGUGCUCGAGACCCACAGUGACUGGAGUUGGUUGAGCAGCUGUACAAAAUCCUACAGUACUCAUU